ACAGAAAUACACUUUGAGGAAACAGAGGAUACCCAACUAAGCUCCCUGGAGUCUGAAAGUGAUUCUGCUGAAGUGGGUGAUCAAAGAGAAACGUGUUUGAGCUCAGAACAACAUGAAUUGCUGUUGUCCUUUCUCAUUGACUCAGACUCAGCUGAUGAGGAAUAUGAACCUGAUAGUGAAGAAUCAGAAUAUGAGGAUGACUCAAUGAUGGACGAACUAGAUGCAAGCUUUCUAGAUGAUCCAGUCAUGGCAGAUGUUGCUUUCAAAGAAGCCCCAGAGAUUGUGACAGGCAGUAGAGAUGGUAAGAAACAUUUAACA
Corticium candelabrum is the source of this 318-nucleotide long non-coding RNA. RefSeq lists it as uncharacterized. The transcript has 3 exons. The record is from RefSeq and is a predicted model, not a curated record. NCBI's taxonomy places the organism in Eukaryota, Metazoa, Porifera, Homoscleromorpha, Homosclerophorida, Plakinidae.